Non-coding RNA from Phascolarctos cinereus (koala), 193 nucleotides. NCBI's taxonomy places the organism in Eukaryota, Metazoa, Chordata, Mammalia, Diprotodontia, Phascolarctidae. The record is from RefSeq and is a predicted model, not a curated record.
CUUCAGUCUUCUUUGCGACUCUUCAAGUUUUAAAUUGCUGUAGACACUUCUGGCUUCUAGCCUUGAGAAAGAAGAUGGAAAAGACCUCCUGUGAUCAAAAGUGGCUUCUGUCCUUUACAAAGAUACACCUUUCUUGAGAUCUCAUCGUUCUACAGGGGUGGGGAACCUGUGGCCUCAAGGUCACAGGUGGCCC